RNAcentral lists this ribosomal RNA (253 nucleotides) under uncultured bacterium. Its description in RNAcentral is "partial 16S ribosomal RNA". It matches the Rfam family "Bacterial small subunit ribosomal RNA", at positions 524 to 776 of the family's 1533-position model. The record is from RNAcentral.
UACGUAGGGACCGAGCGUUGUCCGGAAUCAUUGGGCGUAAAGAGCGUGUAGGCGGCCACUUAAGUCCUGCGUGAAAUCUUGCGGCUCAACCGCAAGCGGUCGUGGGAAACUGGGUGGCUAGAGUGCGGGAGAGGAGAGUGGAAUUCCUGGUGUAGCGGUGGAAUGCGCAGAUAUCAGGAAGAACACCCGUGGCGAAGGCGCUCUCUGGAACGCAACUGACGCUGAGACGCGAAAAGCGUGGGGAGCAAACAGG